GACGAACGCUGGCGGCGUGCUUAACACAUGCAAGUCGAACGGAAAGGCCAUGCUUUUGUGGGGUGCUCGAGUGGCGAACGGGUGAGUAACACGUGAGUAAACUCCACUUGACUUUGGGAUAACAUCAGGAAACUGGGGCUCAUAUCGCAUAUGAGCUCCUGCUGCAUGGUGGGGGUUGGUAAGUUUCGGCGGUUGUGGAUGGACUCGAGGCUUAUCCGCUUGUUUGUCGGGUAGUGGCUUACCAAGGCUUUGAAGGGUAGCCGGCCUGAGAGGGGGGCCAGCCACAUGGGGACUGAGGGAGGGACCAGAAGCCUACGGGAGGCAGCAGUGGGGAAUAUGGCGCAGUGGGCGGAAGCCUGAUGCAGCAACGCCGGGAGCGUGAUGACGUCCUACGAGGGGUAAACCACUGUCGACGGUAACGAAGCGUUAGUGACGGUAAUUAGUAAAGAAGCACCGGCUAACUACGUG
Molecule: ribosomal RNA, 468 nt
Filed under: uncultured bacterium
Lineage: Bacteria
Description: partial 16S ribosomal RNA
Rfam family: Bacterial small subunit ribosomal RNA
Source: RNAcentral